Molecule: non-coding RNA, 6405 nt
Organism: Xyrichtys novacula (pearly razorfish)
Lineage: Eukaryota; Metazoa; Chordata; Actinopteri; Labriformes; Labridae
Source: the annotation of a GenBank genome assembly
GAGCGAGUGAGUUACCCGGGUGGACGCGGCUGCGAGUCCCCGGUUCGGACUGUGUGUGAGGAUGUGUGUUUGACUUUUUAAAGGCACUCUGUGAAGGUCGCUCAUUCAUUUCGUUUUGUUCUUUUUGGGUAAUUUCUUGGUUUGGUUGUUUUAUUUAUUUGUUUUGUUUAAGUGAUUUGUUUAUUUUUUUGGCAACGUACUUAUUAUACUUUAAUGAGUAAUGUUUUAGUUGGAGAUCCUUUUUGUUAGUGCUUUGAAUGAAGUAAUUUUUGGUUUUCUGAGUUUAUCUCUGGCCAGAGAGUCGUAAUUUGUUUCCUUUGGUUGAUUUCUGAUUCAUUUUGAACAUUAUUACCCAGUUAAAUUGAUUAGUUAUUGAUUUGGUUAUGUUUUGGUGUGUUUUCUUUAUGAGUCCCUUGCCCUAAUUGUGUUUCUUUUCCCCCUACAGAGCUGACGGCCAACGGUGGUGGUGGUGGUCCUCUAAGGUGGUGGUGAUCCCUGAGUGUGUGCGUUUUAUUUGACUCCCCGUUUGAAGAUUUAUUUGUGUGCACCUUAUGUUUGUUGUGAGUGGGGUGUUCUCUUUUCUUUGGACGUCACCAGUUUUGACCCCUCCUCUAGCCCGUACGCCUCAGCCUGUAUCCCUGUUUCAGUUGGGCUCUGUUAUUAUCAUAUUUUGCGUCUUAUUAAUUAUGUUGACCUUUUAUCAAUAAAUUUUGUACGUUGAUUAUUGAUUCUCGUCUCCUGCCUCCCUGGUUGAACGAACCUGAGUGCCUUAGAGAACUAGGUAAUUGACCUUUAGAUACGGGUCCUUGGGCCCCCUCCCAAGGUGGCGUUGUUGGACAACAAAGUUCGGGUGGUACCCAAACUGAUAAUAUAUAGCUCGUGCCGCCACAAACCUGGCGUUGUCGGCAGGAUCAACUCAGUGGAGGUGGAGACGUGCGUCCUAUGUUUAAUCAUUUUAGUUUUUUUGGUUUUCAGAUUGCCAAGUGUGUGUGUGAGUGUGAAUGUGAAUGAACGGCAGCUUCAGGCGAGCCAGCAGAGACGGUGUUUAUUUUUUUUUGGGUAGCGUUAACAUUUACAGCCUAGUGUAGCUUUCAGAAAUGGAGGGAGAGUUGCAAGAGUUGAGAGACUUGGUGGCACAGCUGCGGGCAGAGAAUGACAGGUUACAGCAGGAGCAGGCUGCACCCGUGCCUGGUCCUAGUGCUGCACCAUCCAUUCCUGCUGAACCUCGUCCAGCACCAUCCUCUUCUGUCGCUCCUGUAACAGAGCGACUGGUCCUCGUGCCCAGAGACAGGAAGUGUCCUGUGUUUAGGGGUAGGUCAGGUAUAGGACUAGAGGAGUGGAUCGAGGAAACUCAGGCCUGCAUUAGAUCCCGCCACCUGUCCAACGCUGAUCAAGCAUUUUUUCUUUUUGACCAUCUAGAGGGAGAGGCGCGUGAAGAAAUAAAAUAUCGUCCGGCCACAGAUCGAAGUGAUCCAGCUAAAAUCCUUGCGGUCUUGCGAGAACUAUAUGGCUGUGCUGAUUCGUAUGUUGCUCUACAGGAGGCGUUCUUCUCGAGGCGACAGAAGGAAGGGGAGACUCUUCACGAGUUUUCCCUCGCCCUGAUGAGCUUGAUGUCAGCGGUGAAACAAAGUGCUCCAAGCGAGAUGCCAAAUGCAGAUGUUUUGUUGCGUGAUCAAUUUAUUGAAAACGUUAUUGACGGUUCCCUUCGCCGAGAGUUAAAGCAACUCACACGCAGGCAGCCUACCAUCUCCCUGUUAGAUGUUAGGGCAGAGGCCAUUAGGUGGGAGCGAGAGGGAUUACCAGGGGGUGUGCGGGGCCGAAGCCACUCUGUUCCUUCGUUGAUGGGCUUGCAGUGCGGUGUUCAGACUGCUCCUUUUGUGGCUAGUCCACCCCAGGCUUCAGAGUUGCAGGAGGUGAAACAUAUGCUGAGGCUCCAACAGGAACAGCUUAGCCGUCUCACCGAAAGUCUCGCUCAGCUGCAGACCAAUCAGCUGCGUAACAAUUCUUCUCACCAUGGUCCGGUGAUUUGCCGGCGGUGUCAUCAGCCUGGCCAUUUUGCCAGGGAAUGCAGAGGGGAGCGUGCGCCUCCUCCACCUUCAGGGUCUGCUUCCUUCCGGCCAGCCUUUCGGCGGGACCCGGCUCAGCGUUUGGAAAACUAGCGCCCGUCGAACUGCGGAGCCAAAGUUCGGGGGGAGCUGCCACCGGCUCACCAGAAGAGAUGGUAAUGGAUGGGGAAGAGACUAAGUUGAUCAGCGCUUGUCCACAUAUGGACGUGGUUAUGGGGGGUGUAACCGUGCCUUGCCUCGUAGACACCGGGUCCAUGGUGUCCACUAUUAGAGAGAGCUUUUUUCGGCAACACUUUGAAAUUUGGGGCCAAGAAAAACUUAAGUCCUGCCAUUGGCUCCAGCUUCAAGCGGCCAAUGGGUUACCCAUCCCAUAUCUUGGCUAUUUAGAGCUGGAAGUCGAGCUCUGUGGUCGGACUUUGCCAGGAUGUGGGCUGCUGGUCGUCAAGGACCCCCCAACUGCUGCGUCUCCUCCUGCCCCGGGUGUCUUGGGGAUGAACAUCCUGAAAAGGUGUUACAGCACCCUAUUUGGGCAACAUGGUGCUGCCCUUUUCAACUUGCCCACCGUCGCUGAAGCACCAAAGCCUGUGGUGCAGGCAUUGCAGAGAUGCCAUCAAGCUUCUCUGACCUCCCCUUCUGCCAUUAGUGGCAAGGUCAAGCUGCGAGGAAAGAAAGCGUGUCGUAUCGCCGGUGGCACUAUGCAGCUGGUUCCAGCCACCUGUUCUGCCCAGUACUCGGGGAGAACUGUGCUGUUCGAGCCCUCAGAUCAGGGCCUUUCUGCUGGCCUGCUGGCAUCCCCAGCACUGGUUCAAGUGGAGGGAGGUACUGUGUACAUACCUGUGGUCAACGUGGGUAUGUCUGAUGUGUUGCUUUACCCCAGAACAACGGUUGGUGCUUUGUGUGAGGUUUCCGUGGUGAGCCUACCUUCUGGGGUGAAGGAGGUUCCAUCCUACAUGGCCACGGUGGCAUCUCAGGCUGUGGUUUCUACGCUGCAAAAUCAAAUCGAUGCAGUGGAUCUGUCUGCUUUGUCACUUGAAGAGCAGCAGGAAGCCAGACUUCUGCUCUGGAAAUAUGCGUCUGUCUUCUCCUCUCACGACAGUGACUUAGGCUGCACUGACCUGAUUACACAUGAAAUCCCGCUUCUUGACGACACUCCCAUCCGUCAGCGCUACCGGCGUAUCCCGCCAUCAGAAUACGAAACGGUGAAAGAACACAUCAAUCAGUUGCUUGGUGCGCAGGUCAUCUGAGACAGCUGCAGCCCUUUUGCGUCCCCAAUUGUAUUGAUUAAAAAGAAAGAUGGAAGUCUGCGCUUGUGCGUCGACUACCGACAGCUGAACAGCCGGACGAGAAAGGACGCGUUCCCUCUCCCGCGAAUUGAGGAAUCGCUGGAUGCACUCACUGGAGCCCGCUGGUUUUCCACUAUGGAUUUAGCCAGCGGCUACAAUCAGGUCCCGGUGGCAGAGGCCGACCGACCCAAGACCGCUUUUUGUACUCCGUUCGGACUCUUUGAAUGGAAUCGUAUGCCGUUCGGGUUGUGUAACGCACCUAGCACCUUCCAGCGACUCAUGCAACGGAUUUUCGGAGACCAGCAAUGUCAGUCGUUGCUCUUGUAUCUUGAUGACAUUGUGGUCUUUUCCUCCACAGUUCAACAACAUUUUCAGAGAUUGGAAGUGGUGCUGCAGCGGCUACAACAUGAAGGUCUGAAAGCGAAGUCGUCAAAGUGCUCAUUCUUCCAACAGCAAGUGCUGUACUUGGGCCACAUCAUUUCGGCUGAAGGAGUUUCCACCGACCCGAGUAAGGUCGAAGUGGUAGCCAAUUGGCAGCCUCCCACCACCAUCUUGCAGCUGCGGUCAUUCCUUGGGUUCACAAGCUACUAUCGGCAUUGCGUGGAGGGCUUUGCCAAGUUGGCUGCCCCUUUACAUCGCCUUGUCGGGGAACUCGGAGCGUCCAAGCUCCGACGGUCUGGACAGCAAGUGGCGGAAAAGUGGACGGGUGAACAUCAGCGGAACUUUGAAUCUUUAAAAUCUAAGCUUACUACGGCACCUGUGUUGGCCUACGCUGACUUUUCCCUUCCUUUCAUUUUGGAAGUGGAUGCGAGCCAUGGGGGCCUUGGCGCUGUGCUCUCGCAGGAGCAGGGAGGGAAGGUCCGGCCUAUCGCAUUUGCUAGCCGAAGUCUGAGGCCCACCGAACGUAACCCCGCCAAUUACAGCUCCAUGAAGCUGGAGUUUUUGGCACUAAAGUGGGCUAUGGCUGACAAAUUCCCUGAGUACUUGCUUGGUCACAAGUGCAUUGUCUUCACAGACAAUAAUCCACUUAGCCACCUGUCAUCGGCUAAACUUGGUGCUCUUGAACAGCGUUGGGUAGCCCAACUCGCGUCAUUCGACUUUGAAAUUCGUUACCGCUCUGGUAAGAGUAACAUCAAUGCAGAUGCUCUGUCCCGCUUGCAUUCACCUCAACCGGUAGAUCUUGGCACGAUCAUCUCUGGUACGCAGCUCCCCCAGCCCUUGAAGCAAGCUCUCCAACCAAAAAGGCCUGCAGCCUGUCAGGCUGCUGUCCAUGCUUUGCCUCAACAUCUGCCUGCAGACAUUGGAGACCUGCAGAGAGCUGAUCCUGUGAUCCAGGAAGUCCUUUCGUUCUGGCAGCAGAAACGUUAUCCAAAUCAAGCGGAACGUAGACGGCUGUCCCCCACAGCUCUGGUGCUCCUCAAGCAGUGGGGGCGAUUGAGUGAGCAGGCCGGAGUUGUGUACCGGCAAGUCUCUUGUGCAGACAAAGGAGAAGUGACUCUCCAGGUGCUGCUGCCCGAGGUGCUGAAGGAAAAAGUCCUUACCGAGCUGCACCAAAAUCAUGGCCACCAGGGGGUGGGCAGGACUCUGGAUUUGCUUAGGCAGCGGUGCUAUUGGUCGGGGAUGUCAGCAGAUGUGCGGCGCUGGUGUCAAAGUUGUGAGCGAUGCCAAGUGGCUAAGGACCCUGGACCACCAGUCCGUAGCUUUAUGGGACAUCUGCUUGCUUCGGAACCUAACAAGAUCCUGGCGAUGGAUUUCACUGUCCUCGAACCAACCCAUAACGGGCUGGAGAAUGUCCUUGUGCUGACGGAUGUCUUCAGUAAAUACACUCUUGCUAUUCCCACCCGUGACCAGCGUGCCUCUACAGUGGCACAGGUGCUUGUCACAGAGUGGUUUUCCAAGUUUGGCGUUCCAGCACGCAUUCAUUCCGAUCAGGGUCGCAAUUUCGAAAGUGUACUCAUCCAGCAGCUGUGUGGUUUGUACAACAUUGAAAACUCUCGCACCACACCAUACCACCCUGCAGGUAAUGGUCAGUGCGAGCGUUUCAAUCGCACCCUCCAUGAUUUGUUGCGCACUUUGCCUCCCUCUCGCAGCAAGCUACGUACGAUUAUGGCUGGCUAGCCCCGGCUACCUGGAUACUGCCGCUGUGCUGCUGCUGUUGCAUCGCUGCCGCUUUGCUGCCGUUAUUAAACGCCUCCGCUGUUUGCCGGCCUGCUUCGGGGUGCGAUCGGCUGCCUCGCGCCGACUCCCCUUUAUUGACUUCGUCCCCUAGCAGCCGUGCGGGGUGCAGAGCGAGUGUGUUACCCGGGUGGACGCGGCUGCGAGUCCCCGGUUCGGACUGUGUGUAAGGAUGUGUGUUUGACUUUUUAAAGGCACUCUGUGAAGGUCGCUCAUUCAUUUCGUUUUGUUCUUUUUGGGUAAUUUCUUGGUUUGGUUGUUUUAUUUAUUUGUUUUGUUUAAGUGAUUUGUUUAUUUUUUUGGCAACGUACUUAUUAUACUUUAAUGAGUAAUGUUUUAGUUGGAGAUCCUUUUUGUUAGUGCUUUGAAUGAAGUAAUUUUUGGUUUUCUGAGUUUAUCUCUGGCCAGAGAGUCGUAAUUUGUUUCCUUUGGUUGAUUUCUGAUUCAUUUUGAACAUUAUUACCCAGUUAAAUUGAUUAGUUAUUGAUUUGGUUAUGUUUUGGUGUGUUUUCUUUAUGAGUCCCUUGCCCUAAUUGUGUUUCUUUUCCCCCUACAGAGCUGACGGCCAACGGUGGUGGUGGUGGUCCUCCAAGGUGGUGGUGAUCCCUGAGUGUGUGCGUUUUAUUUGACUCCCCGUUUGAAGAUUUAUUUGUGUGCACCUUAUGUUUGUUGUGAGUGGGGUGUUCUCUUUUCUUUGGACGUCACCAGUUUUGACCCCUCCUCUAGCCCGUACGCCUCAGCCUGUAUCCCUGUUUCAGUUGGGCUCUGUUAUUAUCAUAUUUUGCGUCUUAUUAAUUAUGUUGACCUUUUAUCAAUAAAUUUUGUACGUUGAUUAUUGAUUCUCGUCUCCUGCCUCCCUGGUUGAACGAACCUGAGUGCCU